UUCCUUUUGGCCAAAAGCAAGACACUUGGCUGAGUCCAAAGUCAUGGUUCAGGGAAGCGCUUUCCACCUGUAUGAGGUCAAAGCAAAACUCACAUGGCCAACCCAGCAUCAGUGGAAGAGCCUUCGGGACCUACUGGAGGCUGAUCUUGUAUGGAUGUCACUUCCACUUGAAGAAACGUGCUUCCAUACUGUUCCAUCAUUCUGUGCAUUCUGUGAGAUAUCAAGUCAUCUUGAUAUGCCAAAUAUACCAUUUCACAGUCAUGUGAUCAUGUGGUGUCCCACGAUCAGAUGUCUCUGAGAACCUCUCAAUAGCAGAAUCUAAAUGGAACCUUGCUGGCACGGAAGUCUGGGGCUUUCCACCCUUGCAAUAUGGAGAAGUGCUUAGAAGGCAGGAAUGGUACUGAGUUUCAACAAAGAAUGACACAAUGACCAUGGAGAAAAAUAAGGUCCCAAGAACUGGACUUCUUUUCAGAAUGUCUCAAACCAAAUGAACUAAUUAUAACCAAACGUAAACUCAAUUCUAUAGUUCUAGAUGGGUGAAUGUGGG
This 547-nucleotide long non-coding RNA is filed under the name Equus caballus (horse). RNAcentral's name for it is "lncRNA (ENSECAG00000053621.1)". The record is from RNAcentral. Lineage: Eukaryota; Metazoa; Chordata; Mammalia; Perissodactyla; Equidae.